RNAcentral lists this ribosomal RNA (254 nucleotides) under uncultured bacterium. RNAcentral describes it as "partial 16S ribosomal RNA". It matches the Rfam family "Bacterial small subunit ribosomal RNA", at positions 524 to 776 of the family's 1533-position model. The record is from RNAcentral.
GACGAACCGUGCGAACGUUAUUCGGAAUCACUGGGCUUAAAGCGCGUGUAGGCGGGAGGGCACGUCCGUCGCUGAAAUCCCCCGGCUCAACCGGGGAACGGGCACGGAUACGACCUUCCUGGAGGGGCGUAGGGGGACCUGGAACUUCCGGUGGAGCGGUGAAAUGCGUUGAGAUCGGAAGAAACGCCCGUGGCGAAAGCGAGGUCCUGGACGCCUACUGACGCUGAGACGCGAAAGCCAGGGGAGCGAACGGG